ACCUUGACACUUUAAGCGGCGCUUCAACCAAACUGGAGGUGUUCACAUUUACCAGAAGAUGGAAGGCUGUGAGUGGGAUGAUGAGACUGGAGAUGUUAAUGGUUAUUUUCAGUUUGGUUAUGAUGGAGAAGACUUCAUAGCUCUGGACCUGAAGACAUGGACGUGGGUCGCUCCACAACAACAGGCUGUCUUCAUCAAACAGGAGUGGGAUAAUAACAAAGCUGAGUUAGAGUAUCUUAAGUACUACUUCAACAAUGAGUGUCUUGACUUGCUCAAGAAGUUUGUGAACUAUGGGAGGAGCUCUCUGAUGAGAACAGACCUCCCCACAGUGUCUCUCCUCCAGAAGACUCCCUCCUC
This is a non-coding RNA of Labrus bergylta (ballan wrasse), 357 nucleotides long. Lineage: Eukaryota; Metazoa; Chordata; Actinopteri; Labriformes; Labridae. The record is from RefSeq and is a predicted model, not a curated record.